This 524-nucleotide ribosomal RNA is filed under the name Arcyria globosa. RNAcentral's name for it is "partial small subunit ribosomal RNA". It matches the Rfam family "Bacterial small subunit ribosomal RNA", at positions 558 to 930 of the family's 1533-position model. The record is from RNAcentral. Lineage: Eukaryota; Evosea; Eumycetozoa; Trichiida; Trichiidae.
GCGUAGGGUACGUAGGUGGUGAAAAUCGGUGUAAAUAAAAUUCUGGGUAGCAACCCUUAACCGUUUACUUCCAUAUUUCACUUGGAUAUAAGACGAGGAACUGGUAUGUACAUGGAGGGGUUAAAUAUGAGAUAUGUAUAGGACUGACAUUGGUGAAAACAAGUUUCUGAUCUAUUAUUGAGCUAAGGUACGAAGGCAUGGGUAUCAAAAGGGAUUAGAGACCCUGUAGUCCAUGCUGUCAACGCUGAGAAUUCAAUGUUAGGGACACGGCUAACGAUCCGAAAAAUUUAGUUAUCAUAAGAGCCAAACUAGAUUUGCGGUUCAUUAUGUGAACGUAAGGAUCUGCGCACUGCUAUAUAAGAGAUUCUUAUUAAACCCAUAGUUAGGGGGCAUCCACGAAGGAUAUACAAAGAUAUUCCUAGGUUGGUCACUUGUUCCUGGUGUUUGAGUAACGCGUUAAAUUCUCCGCUGGGGAGUACGGCCGCAGGUUGAAACUCAAAAGAAUUGAGGUGACUUGUACGAGG